This 72-nucleotide transfer RNA is filed under the name Guillardia theta. Its description in RNAcentral is "tRNA-Asp". It matches the Rfam family "tRNA". From Rfam's summary of the family: Transfer RNA (tRNA) molecules are approximately 80 nucleotides in length. Lineage: Eukaryota; Cryptophyceae; Pyrenomonadales; Geminigeraceae. The record is from RNAcentral.
GAAGGUGUAAUUUAGAGGUUAGAAUGUUGGCCUGUCACGCUGAAUACGCAGGUUCAAUUCCUGUCACCUUCG